UCCCGGGGGAGGGGAAACCCCCCCCCGGGGGGGGGGAAAAAGGGGGGGUUUUUUUUUUUGGGGCCUUUUUUCCCCGGGCCCGGUGGGAAAAAAGGGAAAAAGCCGGGGGGGGGAGCAAAAACCACGGCUUUUAGGAUUCCCCCUGGGAUAGUUCCCCCCCCCGUUAAACCCGGUGGGGCCACUUAGGGUGUGGGGGAACCAUUCCCCACGUUUUUCCCGUGCCGGAAAGCUAAACGCCCUUAAAGUGCCCCCGCCCUGGGGGAGUUACGGCCCGCCAAGGGCUAAAAACUCAAAAGGAAAUUGGACGGGGGGCCCCCCCCCAAAGCGGGCGGGACCAUUGCGGGAUUUAAUUUGUAUUCAAACCGGGAAAGAACCCUUACCCUGGGUUUUGACCAUACCCCGGAAAAGUCGCCAGAAAUUUACCCCCCCCCAAAGGUUCGGCCACACAGGGUGGCGCCAGGCCUUUUCUCCAAUCUCGUUUCGGGAAAAUGUUGGGGUUAAAUUCCCCGCCAAGGAGCCGCAACCCUUCUUCCUUAUUUNCCCAAGGGGAUAAUCCCCGGGGACUCAUAGGAGACGGCCCGGGGUCGGGUCGAAUUGGAAGAAAGGGGGGAAGAAGUCCAGUCAUCAUGCCCCUUAAGGUUCAGGGCUUCACGCAUGCUUCCAAUGGUGGGUCCAAAAGGGGCGCCAAUACCGCAAGGUUAAGCGAAUUCCCAAAAAAGCCAGUCUCAGUUUCGGAUUGGGGUUCUGCAACUCGACCCCCAUGAAGUCGGAGUCGCUAGUAAUCGCAGAUCAGCAACGCUGCGGUGAAUACGUUCCCGGGCGUCGUACACACCCCGCGUCACAUCUCAAGAAUCUCGAACACCCGAGAACCCGGUGCCCCAACCCUUGGGAGGGAGCCGUCGAAGGUGGGACUGGCGAUUAGGACUAAGUCGUAACAAGGUAGCCGUACCGGAAGGUGCGGCUGGAUCACCUCCUUAAGGGGGAUCCCGGG
Molecule: ribosomal RNA, 991 nt
Filed under: uncultured bacterium
Lineage: Bacteria
Description: partial 16S ribosomal RNA
Rfam family: Bacterial small subunit ribosomal RNA
Source: RNAcentral